GGAGCAGGAGCUGGAACUUGAGCGGGAGGGGAAGCGAGAGGAGCUGGAGGAGGAGUUGAGACGGGAGGAGGAGUAGCUGGAGGAGGAGAUGCGACUGGAGGAGGAGUAGCGGGAGGAGGAGAUGCGACUGGAGGAGGAGGAGAUGCAGGUGGUGGAGAAGAGACUGGAGGAGGAGUAGCCGGAGGAGGAGCGGUGGUGACUGGAGGAGGAGAAGUGGUGACUGGUGGAGGAGCUGAGACAGGAGGAGGAGUCAUUGCUGGUGGUGGAGUUGUUGGAGUCGGUGGUGCUGGUGUAGCGGUUGGUGGUGAAGACGGAGCUUGACCUCCGACGCCGGCGACGAGGACGAUACAGAUCGCAACGAUAACAAAUUGCCUACCCAUUCUUUUUUA
Molecule: long non-coding RNA, 389 nt
Filed under: Eutrema salsugineum
Lineage: Eukaryota; Viridiplantae; Streptophyta; Magnoliopsida; Brassicales; Brassicaceae
Description: long non-coding RNA (ESAL_LNC001839)
Source: RNAcentral